UAAGCAUAUCAAUAAGCGGAGGAAAAGAAACUAACAAGGAUUCCCCUAGUAACUGCGAGUGAAGCGGGAAAAGCUCAAAUUUAAAAUCUGGCGGCUUUGGUCGUCCGAGUUGUAUUCUAGAGAAGUGUUUUCCGCGUUGGACCGUGUACAAGUCUCUUGGAACAGAGCGUCAUAGAGGGUGAGAAUCCCGUCUUUGACACGGACUACCAAUGCUUUGUGAUGCGCUCUCAAAGAGUCGAGUUGUUUGGGAAUGCAGCUCAAAAUGGGUGGUAAAUUCCAUCUAAAGCUAAAUAUUGGCGAGAGACCGAUAGCGAACAAGUACCGUGAGGGAAAGAUGAAAAGCACUUUGGAAAGAGAGUUAAACAGUACGUGAAAUUGCUGAAAGGGAAACGCUUGAAGUCAGUCGCGUUGUCUAGAACUCAGCCAGGUUUACUUGGUGCAUUUUCUAGUUAACGGGCCAGCAUCAGUUUUGACUGCAGGAAAAAGGCUAGAGAAAUGUGGCAUCUUCGGAUGUGUUAUAGUCUCUGGUUGCAUACUGUGGUUGGGAUUGAGGCUCUCAGCACGCUUUUGUUGUGCUUAGGAUGCUGGCGUAAUGGCUUUAAACGACCCG
RNAcentral lists this ribosomal RNA (610 nucleotides) under Cytidiella sp. RNAcentral describes it as "YL-2021d partial large subunit ribosomal RNA". It matches the Rfam family "Eukaryotic large subunit ribosomal RNA", at positions 35 to 651 of the family's 3401-position model. Lineage: Eukaryota; Fungi; Basidiomycota; Agaricomycetes; Polyporales; Irpicaceae. The record is from RNAcentral.